UACGUAGGGGGCGAGCGUUGUCCGGAAUCAUUGGGCGUAAAGCGCGUGUAGGCGGCUCGAUAAGUCCGGUGUGAAACCUUGGGGCUCAACCCCAAGCCUGCACUGGAUACUGCCGAGCUAGAGUCCGGGAGGGGAGAGCGGAAUUCCUAGUGUAGCGGUGAAAUGCGCAGAUAUUAGGAAGAACACCGGUGGCGAAGGCGGCUCUCUGGACCGGUACUGACGCUGAUGCGCGAAAGCGUGGGGAGCAAACGGG
This 253-nucleotide ribosomal RNA is filed under the name uncultured bacterium. Its description in RNAcentral is "partial 16S ribosomal RNA". It matches the Rfam family "Bacterial small subunit ribosomal RNA", at positions 524 to 776 of the family's 1533-position model. The record is from RNAcentral.